This 105-nucleotide microRNA precursor is filed under the name Marmota monax (woodchuck). Lineage: Eukaryota; Metazoa; Chordata; Mammalia; Rodentia; Sciuridae. The record is from RNAcentral.
AUAGGAAUCAAUCUGGGGAUCUUAUUAAAAUGAAGGCUCUGAUUUAUUAAUCUGAGCUGAAACCUGAUGUUCUUCAUUUCUUACAAGCUUCCAGGUGAUGCCAGU